Molecule: ribosomal RNA, 423 nt
Filed under: uncultured bacterium
Lineage: Bacteria
Description: partial 16S ribosomal RNA
Rfam family: Bacterial small subunit ribosomal RNA
Source: RNAcentral
GAAUUUUGGACAAUGGGCGAAAGCCUGAUCCAGCAAUGCCGCGUGCAGGAUGAAGGCCUUCGGGUUGUAAACUGCUUUUGUACGGAACGAACAGCUUUGGGUUAAUACCCUGGAGUCAUGACGGUACCGUCAGAAUACGAACCGGCUAACUACGUGCAAGCCGCCGCGGUAAUACGUAGUGGGCAAGCGUUAAUCGGAAUUACUGGGCGUAAAGCGUGCGCAGGCGGUUUUGUAAGACAGAUGGGAAAUCCCCGGGCUCAACCUGGGAACUGCCUUUGUGACUGCCCCGCGCCCCUGCUUCACCUUGUUCUAUCAUUCCUCUUUUAGCAGUACAAUGCGUAGAUAUCCUGAGGAACACCGAUUGCGAAGGCAACCCCCUGGGCCUGUACUGACGCUCAUGCACGAAAGCGUGGGGAGCAAACG